AGGUUUGCGCAGUGGCAGUAUCGUACCCAAUGAGGUUUAUCUGAGGUGUGAUUAUUGUUAAAAAAAAAUUUUUUUUAAAUGUAUGUGCCUCAUGUGUGGGAUGCUGGGAUAGAUUUCUUGUCCUUAAAAGGG
This is a small nuclear RNA of Myotis lucifugus (little brown bat), 132 nucleotides long. Its record names the gene U4. It matches the Rfam family "U4 spliceosomal RNA". From Rfam's summary of the family: U4 small nuclear RNA (U4 snRNA) is a component of the major U2-dependent spliceosome. The structure of U4 snRNA from yeast and human has been reported. The record is from Ensembl. Lineage: Eukaryota; Metazoa; Chordata; Mammalia; Chiroptera; Vespertilionidae.